RNAcentral lists this transfer RNA (241 nucleotides) under Paramuricea clavata. The stretch from base 82 to 154 matches the Rfam family "tRNA". Lineage: Eukaryota; Metazoa; Cnidaria; Anthozoa; Malacalcyonacea; Plexauridae. The record is from RNAcentral.
AAAAAAAUUCAUAUUACAAGAACACAUUGGUAUUGAAGGAACUAGAUACUGUUCCGAAAUAUCACUUACUCGAACUGUCCUGACCGCGUAGCUCAGUUGGAAGAGCAUUGGGCUAGUAUUCCAAAGGUCGUAGGUUCGAAUCCCACCGUGGCCGGGCAUGUUUUUCGGGCUCGCCCGGUGUGGAUAUGCACUCAGAGUAACAUCGCAAACAUAUUAUUCACCUGAGUACACAACACCACCA